RNAcentral lists this long non-coding RNA (437 nucleotides) under Malus domestica (apple). RNAcentral describes it as "long non-coding RNA (MDOM_LNC002886)". The record is from RNAcentral. Lineage: Eukaryota; Viridiplantae; Streptophyta; Magnoliopsida; Rosales; Rosaceae.
AAACUUUUUCCAGAACCUUCUCCAUCUGUUACCUUUGGGGAACGUGCAUCUUUGUCAGCCAUCAUACCAACACUCAAAGAACGAACUAAUUAUAAUCGUCAAAAUUGCAAAGCGUUUUUGGAACGAAUUGUGAAGAAUAAGGACAGCAAAAGCACAUAUUUAUAUUAGGAUAGGUAGUUAGGGAUUUUGCGUAGUGAUGAAAGUUUUGUUGCGCAAACACAUGCAGUAAAUACAGUAUUUAUUUCUCCGAUUCAGAUGCACCAAAUACGUUGACCAAUAACCUAUUGCCCUUGCGCGAUGAAACCUUUGUCGCGCAAGAGUUUGUACAGCAACAUAUUUGUCACGCAAAGGUUUUUGUGACGAACAUAUUGUAAUUAUAAAAUUUACGUAAACAUAGAUAUCUAUGUUUACGUAAACUUAUAAUUACCAACAAAUUU